This is a transfer RNA of Aureimonas sp. Leaf324, 72 nucleotides long. It matches the Rfam family "tRNA". Rfam says of the family: Transfer RNA (tRNA) molecules are approximately 80 nucleotides in length. Their secondary structure includes four short double-helical elements and three loops (D, anti-codon, and T loops). Further hydrogen bonds mediate the characteristic L-shaped molecular structure. tRNAs have two regions of fundamental functional importance: the anti-codon, which is responsible for specific mRNA codon recognition, and the 3' end, to which the tRNAs corresponding amino acid is attached (by aminoacyl-tRNA synthetases). tRNAs cope with the degeneracy of the genetic code in two manners: having more than one tRNA (with a specific anti-codon) for a particular amino acid; and 'wobble' base-pairing, i.e. permitting non-standard base-pairing at the 3rd anti-codon position. The record is from Rfam. Lineage: Bacteria; Pseudomonadati; Pseudomonadota; Alphaproteobacteria; Hyphomicrobiales; Aurantimonadaceae.
GCCGGCUUAGCUCAGCGGUAGAGCAGCGGUUUUGUAAACCGAAGGUCGGGGGUUCAAUCCCCUCAGCCGGCA